This 270-nucleotide ribosomal RNA is filed under the name uncultured prokaryote. Its description in RNAcentral is "partial 16S ribosomal RNA". It matches the Rfam family "Bacterial small subunit ribosomal RNA", at positions 524 to 792 of the family's 1533-position model. The record is from RNAcentral.
UACGAAGGGAGCUAGCGUUAUUCGGAAUAACUGGGCGUAAAGGGCGCGUAGGCGGCCUAUUAAGUCGGUUGUUAAAGGCCUUGGCUCAACCAAGGAGAUGCAAUUGAUACUGGUAGGCUAAGAGGGCAAGAGAGAGAAGUGGAAUUCUCGGAGUAGCGGUAAAAUGCGUAGAUCUCGAGAGGAACACCGAUAGCGAAGGCAGCUUCUUGGCUUGUACCUGACGCUGAGGCGCGAAAGCGUGGGGAGCAAACAGGAUUAGAUACCCUUGUA